GACGAACGCUGGCGGCGUGCCUAAUACAUGCAAGUAGAACGCACAGUUUAUACCGUAGCUUGAUACACCAUAGACUGUGAGUUGCGAACGGGUGAGUAACGCGUAGGUAACCUGCCUGGUAGCGGGGGAUAACUAUUGGAAACGAUAGCUAAUACCGCAUAAUAUUAAUUAUUGCAUGAUAAUUAAUUGAAAGGUGCAAUUGCACCACUACCAGAUGGACCUGCGUUGUAUUAGCUAGUAGGGGAGGUAACGGCUCACCUAGGCGACGAUACAUAGCCGACCUGAGAGGGUGGUCGGCCACACUGGGACUGAGACACGGCCCAGACGACUACGGGAGGCAGCAGUAGGGAAUCUUCGGCAAUGGACGAAAGUCUGACCGAGCAACGCCGCGUGAGUGAAGAAGGUUUUCGGAUCGUGAAGCUCGGUUGUAAGAGAAGAACGGGUGUGAGAGUGGAAAGUUCACACUGUGACGGUAUCUUAACAGAAAGGGACGGCUAACUACGUG
This 505-nucleotide ribosomal RNA is filed under the name uncultured bacterium. RNAcentral describes it as "partial 16S ribosomal RNA". It matches the Rfam family "Bacterial small subunit ribosomal RNA", at positions 28 to 507 of the family's 1533-position model. The record is from RNAcentral.